This is a non-coding RNA of Pelobates cultripes (western spadefoot toad), 204 nucleotides long. The record is from the annotation of a GenBank genome assembly. Lineage: Eukaryota; Metazoa; Chordata; Amphibia; Anura; Pelobatidae.
GUUUUUAAAUUCUGUAUGAAUCACGCAAUGUAGACAGUACAGAUUGCAAGAUGACUCAAACAGUACCAGUUUCCUACAUUUAGUUUAAUCAAAGGAGUAACAAAUCCAAGGAUAGGAGAAGAAUAUAGGGCUACGCAAAAGAUAAAGGGAGAAAACCCACUGCUGUGUCUAGGUUGCAUUAGAGCUGUACACUCAAACUGCAAU